UUCACUACUUACUGUAAGUCGCUCUGGAUAAGAGUGUCUGCUAAAUGACUAAAA
Non-coding RNA from Salmo salar (Atlantic salmon), 54 nucleotides. NCBI's taxonomy places the organism in Eukaryota, Metazoa, Chordata, Actinopteri, Salmoniformes, Salmonidae. The record is from Rfam.